ACGUGGAUAACCUGCCCUAAGGUGGGGCAUAACCCCGGGAAACUGGGGAUAAUACCCCAUAGGUUAGAGAUGCUGGAAUGCACUUUAACCCAAAGCUCCGGCGCCUUAGGAUGGAUCUGCGGCCGAUUAGGUAGUUGUUGGGGUAAUGGCCCAACAAGCCUGUAAUCGGUACGGGUUGUGGGAGCAAGAGCCCGGAGAUGGACUCUGAGACACGAGUCCAGGCCCUACGGGGCGCAGCAGGCGCGAAAACUUUACAAUGCAGGAAACUGUGAUAAGGGAACCCCGAGUGCCCGUAUACGCGGGCUGUCCAGGUGUUUAAAACGCAUCUGAAGAAAGGGCCGGGCAAGACCGGUGCCAGCCGCCGCGGUAAUACCGGCGGCUCGAGUGGUGGCCACUUUUAUUGGGCUUAAAGCGUCCGUAGCUUGGUUGUUAAGUCUCUUGGGAAAUCUCACGGCUUAACCGUGAGGCGUCUAAGGGAUACUGGCAACCUAGGGACCGGAAGAGGUGA
This 508-nucleotide ribosomal RNA is filed under the name uncultured archaeon. RNAcentral describes it as "bacterial SSU rRNA". It matches the Rfam family "Archaeal small subunit ribosomal RNA", at positions 98 to 611 of the family's 1478-position model. The record is from RNAcentral.